UACGUAUGGGGCAAGCGUUAUCCGGAUUUACUGGGUGUAAAGGGAGCGUAGGCGGCGGGGCAAGCCUGAUGUGAAAGCCCGGGGCUCAACCCCGGGACUGCAUUGGGAACUGCCCUGCUGGAGUGCCGGAGGGGCAGGCGGAAUUCCUAGUGUAGCGGUGAAAUGCGUAGAUAUCACGCAGAACUCCGAUUGCGAAGGCAGCAUACCGGCGCCCAACUGACGCUGAAGCACGAAAGCGUGGGUAUCGAACAGG
Molecule: ribosomal RNA, 253 nt
Filed under: uncultured bacterium
Lineage: Bacteria
Description: partial 16S ribosomal RNA
Rfam family: Bacterial small subunit ribosomal RNA
Source: RNAcentral